UGUCUCAUUUUAUGACCGACUGAAGUAACUUUGGCCUCACUCAUCUAGAAAAUUAAAGUAAUAUCUCAUCUAGUGAACAUCUCAGACGACAUAAAAUAUUUACUAAACUAAAUCCACUCUAAGAAGCACUGAACUCUCAAUGACCCAGGCAGACAUCUAGCCCUAUUGAAACCUGUGGACUACCAGGGGCAUGACUAAGUGCUCAGCUGGAUCAGCACCACCGAUUACUCACACUUUGUAGAACUGAGCCCCAGAAAAUGGAACCUGUAGACCAGGACAGUGAUGAUGCUCACCAGUUCGUUUCAUCCCAGGGUGUUCCUGCUAUGCCUCAUGUCUGCAGUCUCCUCAUCCAUACGGCUCCCUCAUUUCCAUGGUCCCCCACAACUGCAGGAUGCAGUAAAGAGGAGUGAAUACCAGUGUACUGACCUUGAGGUGGGCUCCUCUGUUACAAUAUCACAUGGGGUAUUACUUCAGAUGUAGAUCUUCUUAUAUACUGGAUCCCAUUCAUUAUCAGGGACACUUUUCAUCUGUUAAAUGCAAAUACACUGUACAUUAUUCCUUGAUCAACAUGGUGGAGACUUUCAUGUCAGUACAGGAGAUUUCAACACAUUGUUUCCAUUACUUUUAAUGGAAAAUGUGUGGCUACAACUCUUGCCCUGCAUUAAAAAAUGCCAACUCUGUUGGAAAAUGUGUUGUGAGGAUGGGGUAUAGGGGGACACUUAGAGUAGGUGGUGAUCAAGAGGGCAGAGAGAGACAGCAGAAGGAAAUCCCUGGCACUAAAGUGCAAAUCUACCCUGCCUUCUACUCCUUUGCAUAGUCCGACUAAACGCCACCUGGAGCUCAUCCUGGAGAGCCCUGGGAAGGUGUAAUAGGCAAGCCCUGGAGUGGUAGACAGGACAUGUGUUAUGUUUCUUCCUCUGCCACUGACCUACUGUGUGACCUUGAGCAAGUCAUUGAUCUGUGCCUCUGUUUUCUUUCAGCUGCAGAAUCUGUAUUAUCUAUUUAUAUCAUAAGCUUCUUGGUGCCUGCCUCUUACAUGGUGUUUAUAGAGAGGCUAGUGUAAUGUAGCUCCAAUUCCAGUUGGAGCACUUCAAUGUUACUGUAAUUCAAAUAAUUAAUAGUAAUAUGAAUGAGUAGGGUUUUUUUCCAGGACAAAGGAGGCCUGGGGAGUUUAUUGUAAGCUUAGCAAUCUAUUUUGUUUGUGUGAUAAACUAAGUGAAUUGAGACAUCGAUAUUGCCUUAACUGGUGAUAUCCUAGAUAUAUAUUGUGUUCACUAGAAAUGCAUUAAGAACCAUCUUCCAUGUGAAGUUAAUGAAGUUUUUUAUAUGCAAACUAAGGAACUCCAAUUGUAGGGGAACCUCAGUCCCUGCACCUGCUUUGAAAAACCCAGGAGCCCAAAUUAAAUUGUCUCCCCCCACCAUAUUAAAUGUUGUGAUGUCAAAUGAUGCAAUAAAGAAAAUA
Long non-coding RNA from Alligator sinensis (Chinese alligator), 1462 nucleotides. RefSeq lists it as uncharacterized. The record is from RefSeq and is a predicted model, not a curated record. NCBI's taxonomy places the organism in Eukaryota, Metazoa, Chordata, Crocodylia, Alligatoridae. The transcript is spliced from 4 exons.